This 440-nucleotide ribosomal RNA is filed under the name uncultured bacterium. Its description in RNAcentral is "partial 16S ribosomal RNA". It matches the Rfam family "Bacterial small subunit ribosomal RNA", at positions 338 to 795 of the family's 1533-position model. The record is from RNAcentral.
CCUACGGGAGGCAGCAGUGGGGAAUAUUGCACAAUGGGGGAAACCCUGAUGCAGCGACGCCGCGUGAGUGAAGAAGUUUUUCGUUAUGUAAAGCUCUGUUAGUAGGGAAGAAAAUGACGGUACCUGACCAAGAAGCUCCGGCUAACUACGUGCCAGCAGCCGCGGUAAUACGUAGGGGGCAAGCGUUAUCGGGAUUCACUGGGUGGAAAGGGAGCGUAGGCGGCAGGGCAAGUCUGGGGUGAAAGGCGGGGGCUCAACCCCCGGACUGCACUGGAAACUGCCAGGCGGGAGUGCAGGAGAGGUAAGUGGAAUUACUAGUGUAGCGGUGAAAUGCGUAGAUAUUAGGAGGAACACCAGUGGCGAAGGCGGCUUACUGGACUGUAACUGACGUUGAGGCUCGAAAGCGUGGGGAGCAAACAGGAUUAGAUACCCCAGUAGUC